AACGAACGCUGGCGGCAUGCCUAACACAUGCAAGUCGAACGAGACCUUCGGGUCUUGUGUCGCACGGGUGCGUAACGCGUGGGAACCUGCCCUUAGGGUCGGAAUAACUCUCCGAAAGGGGUGCUAAUACCGGAUAAUGUCUUCGGACCAAAGAUUUAUCGCCCUUGGAUGGUCCCGCGUUGGAUUAGCUAGUUGGUAGGGUAAUAGCCUACCAAGGCGACGAUCCAUAGCUGGUCUGAGAGGAUGAUCAGCGACACUGGGACUGAGACACGGCCCGGACUCCUACGGGAGGGAGCAGUGGGGAAUAUUGGACAAUGGGCGAAAGCAUGAUCCAGUAAUGCCGCGUGAGUGAUGAAGGCCUUAGGGUUGUAAAGCUCUUUUACCCGGGAUGAUAAUGACAGUACCGGGAGAAUAAGCUCCGGCUAACUCCGUG
This 433-nucleotide ribosomal RNA is filed under the name uncultured bacterium. RNAcentral describes it as "partial 16S ribosomal RNA". It matches the Rfam family "Bacterial small subunit ribosomal RNA", at positions 29 to 507 of the family's 1533-position model. The record is from RNAcentral.